CUACGGGAGGCUGCAGUGAGGAAUAUUGCACAAUGGGGGGAACCCUGAUGCAGCAACGCCGCGUGGAGGAUGACGCAUUUCGGUGUGUAAACUCCUUUUAUAUGUCAAGAAAAUGACGGUAGCAUAUGAAUAAGCACCGGCUAACUCCGUGCCAGCAGCCGCGGUAAUACGGAGGGUGCAAGCGUUACUCGGAAUCACUGGGCGUAAAGGACGCGUAGGCGGGUGGGAAAGUCAGGUGUGAAAUCCUACAGCUUAACUGUAGAACUGCACUUGAAACUUCUAAUCUAGAGUAUGGGAGGGGAGAUGGAAUUAGUGGUGUAGGGGUAAAAUCCGUAGAUAUCACUAGGAAUACCUAAAGCGAAGGCGAUCUCCUGGAACAUUACUGACGCUAAGGCGUGAAAGCGUGGGGAGCAAACAGGAUUAGAUACCCCCGUAGUC
This 438-nucleotide ribosomal RNA is filed under the name uncultured bacterium. RNAcentral's name for it is "partial 16S ribosomal RNA". It matches the Rfam family "Bacterial small subunit ribosomal RNA", at positions 339 to 795 of the family's 1533-position model. The record is from RNAcentral.